UGAUAGCGUUGAAGCGUGAGGUUGCCACAUUAUCCAGUGAUGUGGGUUUUCCGUGGAGCGAAUGUCAGUAGGCUGCAUAGCGGCCACAAAAUCAUGACGACAA
This 103-nucleotide non-coding RNA is filed under the name unclassified sequences. The record is from Rfam.